RNAcentral lists this non-coding RNA (199 nucleotides) under Deltaproteobacteria bacterium. Its description in RNAcentral is "6S RNA". It matches the Rfam family "6S / SsrS RNA". Rfam says of the family: E. coli 6S RNA was the first non coding RNA to be sequenced, but its function was unknown until recently. It consists of 184 nucleotides that fold into an extended hairpin structure with a large single-stranded internal bulge. Lineage: Bacteria; Pseudomonadati; Myxococcota; Myxococcia. The record is from RNAcentral.
GUUGCCCUGCUCGGUACGUGCUCUUUGUGGAAACUCUGAACCAAUGUGUUUUUCUUCGGGAGUGGCUGCGCUUAACGCCGUGUGUAUGCCCCGGGCCAGCUUCGCGCUGGCUGCAGAGGAAACCUUAAGCGUUAGCGGUCGUUCCCACCUAGCUUAGCUAGGUUCAGAAUCCCAAUGACACGGCCAUAGCGGGGCUUUU